Cucurbita pepo subsp. pepo (vegetable marrow) is the source of this 1524-nucleotide long non-coding RNA. RefSeq lists it as uncharacterized. The record is from RefSeq and is a predicted model, not a curated record. Lineage: Eukaryota; Viridiplantae; Streptophyta; Magnoliopsida; Cucurbitales; Cucurbitaceae.
UCCUCAUCCGUCUUUCAUCUGCCUCCAUUGCAAACCCUAUUUUUUCUACAUUUAUUGUUUUGCAGAUCUGUCUCCGUCGUCUUCUCUGUCGCCGUUCUGAUCAUUGUAGAUCGGUAGAUCUGGUGUUGAUCUACGCGUUGAUGGCGGUUUCAUACGGAUUCGGCCUCCGUUGACGGGCGUCGGUUGCUUAUUUACAGGUAUGGAAUUUCGUUUGGCGUGGGAUGUUUAGGGAGGCAGUAACGCUUCGAGUCGUGCUUGGAGACUCCGUGUUUUCGGACGAUGAGGCGGUUGGUUGCUGCGAAUCAAGAUGAUUUCGUCCGAUCUGUUCGUCGGUACAACGUAGCAAAGCUGUGGACCACUAUUCGAUGGAAGCUAUAUCUUGUACAUAAUUAUGAAAGCAUCAGAAAAAGUAGAUGAGUGAUUGUGGAUGUAAAGAUAUCGGGAUUUAGCCUCUUUUUUUUAGGAGGAUGAAUUCUGGUAGCUCUUUGUCAUCCGGCCUUUGCCAUGACAGGUGCGCUUGCAUGGCAGGUCAUUCAUAAUAAAAAAAAGCAUGUUUUCGUUUUGAGGGAAGAUCGCACGGGGAUUGCCCGGGGUCUUCCCUCGCUGGUCUGUUUUCCUCUUGCUCUCUAUUUCUCUCCGUUCGUUUCUGCAACUUCAACCGACGGAACCCCUUCUUUGGUCAUAGCCUUUGACCUGAUCGAACUCGCGACAUGCAAAGGUACUCUACCGAUUUUUUAAUUUAAAUUUCCGAACAAUCGUGAAAUGGUAGUAAAAAAAAGAACGAAGGCUUUUUUUUUUUUUUUUUUUCAUUGUUAAAUAUUCUUGUUUAUAUUUAAAAACAGUAGCAUUUUCCGGUUGGCAUACGCUUGUUUCCAUCCAUCCCUCCUGUGUAAUAAAUUUUUUAUUUAUGUUUGUACCAAUAAUAAUUAAGCAUUUUGGGGAUUUGUCAAUGACAGUCUUUGCUAUGGGGGGGGGGGGGGGGGUUUCNGGUUUCAUCGAAUUCAAGUAAAAUAAUGUUAUUACAACGAUGUGCAUUCCCCAUUCGUAUUUCCAUUUUAGAGUUUCCACUCGUCUAACUAAUACACAAUGUUUCGACAUUGUUGUGAUAUAAUUGGGUUUGCUGUUCUCCCCUUCCAUUAGCUAUAUAGUUAUUUAAUAUUUUUUUUAUGUAAUAGUUGUCACAUUUGAGAUCUUUAGGGUAUACCCAACGUGGCUUUUUGUACGUUUUGCAUAUUUUGUUAGAACUAGUCCUUGUCUUCCUAGCUAUUUGAUUGUUAGUGAAGAAGAUGCGUCCAAACGGCACUUGAGUGCAUGCAAUUGAAGAAAUCUUUUGCGUUCAAUGGAGGCACAACAAUCAGCAGCAUGGCUCUAUCGUGAAUCCUGUCAUCAUCUCAUCGGCUGGUACUUCUUGGAUCUUACUUUCAUCCAUGGUCUCUCUAUUAAACUACUAUUUUGUAAGUUAUUUUGGAACUUGUUUAUUGUAUAUUUAUUUCUGCUGCGCAUGUCGUGAGUUUGUUUAAAUUC